This 429-nucleotide ribosomal RNA is filed under the name Gemmatimonadota bacterium. Its description in RNAcentral is "Gemmatimonadetes bacterium partial 16S ribosomal RNA". It matches the Rfam family "Bacterial small subunit ribosomal RNA", at positions 355 to 776 of the family's 1533-position model. The record is from RNAcentral. Lineage: Bacteria; Pseudomonadati; Gemmatimonadota.
UAGGGAAUCUUCGGCAAUGGACGAAAGUCUGACCGAGCAACGCCGCGUGAGUGAAGAAGGUUUUCGGAUCGUAAAACUCUGUUGUUAGAGAAGAACAAGGACGUUAGUAACUGAACGUCCCCUGACGGUAUCUAACCAGAAAGCCACGGCUAACUACGUGCCAGCAGCCGCGGUAAUACGUAGGUGGCAAGCGUUGUCCGGAUUUAUUGGGCGUAAAGCGAGCGCAGGCGGUUUCUUAAGUCUGAUGUGAAAGCCCCCGGCUCAACCGGGGAGGGUCAUUGGAAACUGGUGAACUUGGGUGCGGAAGAGGAGAGUGGAAUUCCAGGUGUAGCGGUGAAAUGCGUAAAUAUAUGGAGGAACACCAGUGGCGAAGGCGGCUCUCUGGUCUGUAACGGACGCUGAGGCUCGAAAGCGUGGGGAGCAAACAGG